AGCUUCGGCCAUCCGGCGAGGGAUGGGCCCGCGGUGCAUUAGCUAGUUGGUGGGGUAACGGCCCACCAAGGCAACGAUGCGUAGCUGGUCUGAGAGGAUGAUCAGCCACACUGGGACUGAGACACGGCCCAGACUCCUACGGGAGGCAGCAGCCAGGAAUCUUGGGCAAUGGGCGCAAGCCUGACCCAGCAACACCGUGUGGGCGAUGAAGGCCUUCGGGUCGUAAAGCCCUGUUGAUAGGGACGAAGGGCGAAGGGUUAAUAGCCC
Molecule: ribosomal RNA, 267 nt
Filed under: uncultured Rubrobacter sp.
Lineage: Bacteria; Bacillati; Actinomycetota; Rubrobacteria; Rubrobacterales; Rubrobacteraceae
Description: partial 16S ribosomal RNA
Rfam family: Bacterial small subunit ribosomal RNA
Source: RNAcentral